CGGGGUGACGGAUUAUUGACUGAGUGGCGGACGGGUGAGUAACGCGUGGGUAACCUACCUUGUACAGGGGGACAACAGUUGGAAACGACUGCUAAUACCGCAUAAGCGCACAGCAUCGCAUGAUGCAGUGUGAAAAGUUUUUUCGGUACAAGAUGGACCCGCGUCUGAUUAGCUAGUUGGUGAGGUAACGGCCCACCAAGGCGACGAUCAGUAGCCGACCUGAGAGGGUGACCGGCCACAUUGGGACUGAGACACGGCCCAAACUCCUACGGGAGGCAGCAGUGGGGAAUAUUGCACAAUGGGCGAAAGCCUGAUGCAGCGACGCCGCGUGAGCGAAGAAGUAUUUCGGUAUGUAAAGCUCUAUCAGCAGGGAAGAUAAUGACGGUACCUGACUAAGAAGCACCGGCUAAAUACGUGCCAGCAGCCGCGGUAAUACGUAUGGUGCAAGCGUUAUCCGGAUUUACUGGGUGUAAAGGGAGCGUAGGCGGUUUUACAAGUCUGAUGUGAAAGCCCGGGGCUCAACUCCGGUAUUGCAUUGGAAACUGUAGAACUAGAGUGUCGGAGGGGUAAGUGGAAUUCCUAGUGUAGCGGUGAAAUGCGUAGAUAUUAGGAGGAACACCAGUGGCGAAGGCGGCUUAC
Molecule: ribosomal RNA, 639 nt
Filed under: Pseudobutyrivibrio sp. RM79
Lineage: Bacteria; Bacillati; Bacillota; Clostridia; Lachnospirales; Lachnospiraceae
Description: bacterial SSU rRNA
Rfam family: Bacterial small subunit ribosomal RNA
Source: RNAcentral